GAUGAACGCUGGCGGCGUGCCUAAUACAUGCAAGUCGAGCGAACAGACGAGGAGCUUGCUCCUCUGACGUUAGCGGCGGACGGGUGAGUAACACGUGGAUAACCUACCUAUAAGACUGGGAUAACUUCGGGAAACCGGAGCUAAUACCGGAUAAUAUAUUGAACCGCAUGGUUCAAUAGUGAAAGACGGUUUUGCUGUCACUUAUAGAUGGAUCCGCGCCGCAUUAGCUAGUUGGUAAGGUAACGGCUUAGCAAGGCAACGAUGCGUAGCCGACCUGAGAGGGUGAUCGGCCACACUGGAACUGAGACACGGUCCAGACUCCUACGGGAGGCAGCAGUAGGGAAUCUUCCGCAAUGGGCGAAAGCCUGACGGAGCAACGCCGCGUGAGUGAUGAAGGUCUUCGGAUCGUAAAACUCUGUUAUUCGGGAAGAACAAAUGUGUAAGUAGCUAUGCACGUCUUGACGGUACCUAAUCAGAAAGCCACGGCUAACUACGUG
RNAcentral lists this ribosomal RNA (497 nucleotides) under uncultured bacterium. RNAcentral describes it as "partial 16S ribosomal RNA". It matches the Rfam family "Bacterial small subunit ribosomal RNA", at positions 28 to 507 of the family's 1533-position model. The record is from RNAcentral.